AGAGUUUGAUCCUGGCUCAGGAUGAACGCUGGCGGUAUGCUUAACACAUGCAAGUCAUACGAGAGUUUACUCUAGUGGCGAACGGGUGCGUAAUACGUGAGAAUCUGCCCUUAGGAGGAGAAUAACCAUUGGAAACGGUGGCUAAAUCUGCAUAUGCCGAGAGGUGAAAUAGUUUAGACUGCCUAAGGAUGAGCUCGCGCCUGAUUAGCUUGUUGGUGAGGUAACGGCUUACCAAGGCCACGAUCAGUAGCUGGUUUGAGAGAACGAUCAGCCACACUGGGACUGAGACACGGCCCAGACUCCUCCGGGAGGCAGCAGUGAGGAAUUUUCCGCAAUGGGCGAAAGCCUGACGGAGCAAUACCGCGUGAGGGAUGAAGGAUUUUGGUCUGUAAACCUCUUUUCUCAAGAAAGAAGUUCUGACGGUACUUGAGGAAUAAGCAUCGGCUAACUCCGUGCCAGCAGCCGCGGUAAUACGGGGGAUGCAAGCGUUAUCCGGAAUCAUUGGGCGUAAAGCGCCUGUAGGUUGUUUAGUAAGUCUGUUGUUAAAGACUAAGGCUUAACCUUAGGAAAGCGAUGGAAACUACUAGACUUGAGUAUGGCAGGGGUAGAGGGAAUUUCUAGUGUAGCGGUGAAAUGCGUAGAUAUUAGAAAGAACACCGGCGGCGAAAGCGCUCUACUGGACCAUUACUGACACUCAGAGGCGAAAGCUAGGGGAGCAAAAGGGAUUAGAUACCCCUGUAGUCCUAGCCGUAAACGAUGGAUACUAGAUGUUGCGCAAUUUGUGCAGUAUCUUAGCUAACGCGUUAAGUAUCCCGCCUGGGGAGUACGCUCGCAAGGGUGAAACUCAAAGGAAUUGACGGGGGCCCGCACAAGCGGUGGAGCAUGUGGUUUAAUUCGAUGCAACGCGAAGAACCUUACCAGGGCUUGACAUACUACAAAUCUUUUCGAAACGAAAGAGUGCCUUCGGGAAUGUAGAUACAGGUGGUGCAUGGCUGUCGUCAGCUCGUGUCGUGAGAUGUUGGGUUAAGUCCCGCAACGAGCGCAACCCUCAUUUUUAGUUGCCA
This 1064-nucleotide ribosomal RNA is filed under the name invertebrate metagenome. RNAcentral's name for it is "bacterial SSU rRNA". It matches the Rfam family "Bacterial small subunit ribosomal RNA", at positions 8 to 1120 of the family's 1533-position model. The record is from RNAcentral.